This 406-nucleotide ribosomal RNA is filed under the name uncultured bacterium. RNAcentral's name for it is "partial 16S ribosomal RNA". It matches the Rfam family "Bacterial small subunit ribosomal RNA", at positions 29 to 527 of the family's 1533-position model. The record is from RNAcentral.
AUUGAACGCUGGCGGCAGGCCUAACACAUGCAAGUCGAACGAGUGGCGGACGGGAGAGCAAUGUCUGGGAAACUGCCUGAUGGAGGGGGAUCACUACUGGAAACGGUAGCUAAUACCGCAUACCAUCGGAUGUGCCCAGGUAGGAUUAGCUAGUGGGAGGGGUAAAGGCUGACCAAGGCGACGAUCCGUAACUGGUCUGAGAGGAUGACCAGCCCCACUGGAACUGAGACACGGUCCAGACUCCUACGGGAGGCAGCAGGGGGGAAUAUUGGACAAUGGGCGCAAGCCUGAUCCAGCCAUGCCGCGUGUGUGAAGAAGGUCUUCGGGUUGUAAAGCACUUUCAGCGAGGAGGCGUUACUCGCAGAAGAAGCACCGGCUAACUCCGUGCCAGCAGCCGCGGUAAUUG